UGGGGAAUUUUGCACAAUGGGGGAAACCCUGAUGCAGCGACGCCGCGUGAUUUAGAAGGCCUUCGGGUUGUAAAAAUCUUUUCUAUGGGAAGAAAAUGACAGUACCAUAGGAAUAAGGACCGGCUAAUUACGUGCCAGCAGCCGCGGUAAUACGUAAGGUCCGAGCGUUGUCCGGAAUCAUUGGGCGUAAAGGGUACGUAGGCGGGUAAGCAAGUUAGAAGUGAAAUCCUAUAGCUCAACUAUAGUAAGCUUUUAAAACUGCUCAUCUUGAGGUAUGGAAGGGAAAGUGGAAUUCCUAGUGUAGCGGUGAAAUGCGCAGAUAUUAGGAGGAAUACCGGUGGCGAAGGCGACUUUCUGGCCAUAAACUGACGCUGAGGUACGAAAGCGUGGGUAGCAAACAGG
This 402-nucleotide ribosomal RNA is filed under the name bacterium. RNAcentral describes it as "partial 16S ribosomal RNA". It matches the Rfam family "Bacterial small subunit ribosomal RNA", at positions 355 to 776 of the family's 1533-position model. The record is from RNAcentral.